UGCCAGACUCCUACGGGAGGCAGCAGUGGGGGAUAUUGCACAAUGGGGGGAACCCUGAUGCAGCGACGCCGCGUGGGUGAAGGAGUGUUUCGGCGCGUAAAGCCCUAUCGGCAGGGAAGAAGGAGGACGGUACCUGACUAAGAAGCCCCGACUAACUACGUGCCAGCAGCCGCGGGAAUACGGAGGGGGCAAGCGUUAUCCGGAUUUACUGGGUGUAAAGGGGGCGCAGACGGCAGCGCAAGCCAGGAGUGAAAGCCCGGGGCCCAACCCCGGGACUGCUCUUGGAACUGCGCGGCUGGAGUGCAGGAGGGGCAGGCGGAAUUCCUGGUGUAGCGGUGAAAUGCGUAGAUAUCAGGAGGAACACCGGUGGCGAAGGCGGCCUGCUGGACUGCAACUGACGUUGAGGCCCGAAAGCGUGGGGAGCAAACAGGAUUAGAUACCCUCGUA
Molecule: ribosomal RNA, 447 nt
Filed under: uncultured bacterium
Lineage: Bacteria
Description: partial 16S ribosomal RNA
Rfam family: Bacterial small subunit ribosomal RNA
Source: RNAcentral